ACUCCUACGGGAGGCAGCAGUGAGGAAUAUUGGUCAAUGGAGGGAACUCUGAACCAGCCAUCCCGCGUGUAGGAAGACGGCCUUAUGGGUUGUAAACUACUUUUAUACAGGAAGAAACGUACCCUCGUGAGGGUGCCUGACGGUACUGUAGGAAUAAGCACCGGCUAACUCCGUGCCAGCAGCCGCGGUAAUACGGAGGGUGCGAGCGUUAUCCGGAUUUAUUGGGUUUAAAGGGUCCGUAGGCGGAUUAAUAAGUCAGUGGUGAAAUCCCAUCGCUUAACGAUGGAACUGCCAUUGAUACUGUUAGUCUUGAAUGAGGGUGCAGUGGUUGGAAUGUGUAGUGUAGCGGUGAAAUGCAUAGAUAUUACACAGAACACCGAUUGCGAAGGCAGAUCACUAACCCUAAAUUGACGCUGAGGGACGAAAGCGUGGGGAGCGAACAGGAUUAGAUACCCUGGUAG
RNAcentral lists this ribosomal RNA (461 nucleotides) under uncultured bacterium. Its description in RNAcentral is "bacterial SSU rRNA". It matches the Rfam family "Bacterial small subunit ribosomal RNA", at positions 335 to 793 of the family's 1533-position model. The record is from RNAcentral.